GACGAACGCUGGCGGCGUGCUUAACACAUGCAAGUCGAACGGAAAGGCCCUGCUUUUGUGGGGUGCUCGAGUGGCGAACGGGUGAGUAACACGUGAGUAACCUGCCCUUGACUUUGGGAUAACUUCAGGAAACUGGGGCUAAUACCGGAUAGGAGCUCCUGCUGCAUGGUGGGGGUUGGAAAGUUUCGGCGGUUGGGGAUGGACUCGCGGCUUAUCAGCUUGUUGGUGGGGUAGUGGCUUACCAAGGCUUUGACGGGUAGCCGGCCUGAGAGGGUGACCGGCCACAUUGGGACUGAGGUACGGCCCAGACUCCUACGGGAGGCAGCAGUGGGGAAUCUUGCACAAUGGGCGGAAGCCUGAUGCAGCAGCGCCGCGUGCGGGAUGACGGCCUUCGGGUUGUAAACCGCUUUCGCCUGUGACGAAGCGUGAGUGACGGUAAUGGGUAAAGAAGCACCGGCUAACUACGUG
This 468-nucleotide ribosomal RNA is filed under the name uncultured bacterium. Its description in RNAcentral is "partial 16S ribosomal RNA". It matches the Rfam family "Bacterial small subunit ribosomal RNA", at positions 28 to 507 of the family's 1533-position model. The record is from RNAcentral.